AGAGUUUGAUCCUGGCUCAGGGCUAACGCUGGCGGCGUGUCUUAGCCAUGCAAGUCGAGCGGACUUAUGGGGUAACUUAUAAGUCAGCGGCGGACGGCGGAGUAACACGUAGCUAACCUACCCUCUGGACGGGGAUAACCUACCGAAAGGUGGGCUAAUACCCGAUGUAGUCAUCCUGUAUAGGGGUGAUGAAAGGUGGGCUUCUGUUUACAAGCUCAUGCUGGAGGAGGGGGCUGCGGCCUAUCAGGUAGUUGGUAGGGUAAUAGCCUACCAAGCCGAUGACGGGUAGCCGGCCUGAGAGGGUGACCGGCCCGAGGGGCACUGAGAUACGGGUCCCACUCCUACGGGAGGCAGCAGGCUAGAAAUUUGGGCAAUGGGGGAAACCCUGACCCAGUGACGCCGCGUGCAGGAAGGAGCCCUUCGGGGUGUAAACUGCUGUCGUGUAGGGAGAAGGGUACUAAGGUGAACAAUCUUAGUACUUGACGGUACUACAGGAGGAAGCCCAGGCUAACCUCGUGCCAGCAGCCGCGGUAAUACGGGGUGGGCGAGCGUUGCCCGGAAUUACUGGGUUUAAAGGGGGUGUAGGCGGUCUGGAUAGUCGGGUGUGUAAUGCAAUCGCUCAACGAUUGAGCUGCAUCUGAUACUUCCAGGCUAGAGGGCGGUAGAGGAGAGCGGAACUCCCGGUGUAGCGGUGAAAUGCGUAGAUAUCGGGAGGAACGCCGGUGGCGAAGGCGGCUCUCUGGGCCGUUCCUGACGCUGAGGCCCGAAAGCUGGGGGAGCGAAAGGGAUUAGAUACCCCUGUAGUCCCAGCCGUAAACGAUGGGCACUAGGUGUACCUUUUAACGGAGGUAUACCGUCGGGAAACCAAUAAGUGCCCCACCUGGGGAGUACGCCCGCAGGGUGAAACUCAAUGAAUUGACGG
This 922-nucleotide ribosomal RNA is filed under the name bacterium enrichment culture clone L55B-28. Its description in RNAcentral is "bacterial SSU rRNA". It matches the Rfam family "Bacterial small subunit ribosomal RNA", at positions 8 to 916 of the family's 1533-position model. The record is from RNAcentral.